This 245-nucleotide long non-coding RNA is filed under the name Trifolium pratense (red clover). RNAcentral describes it as "long non-coding RNA (TPRA_LNC000148)". The record is from RNAcentral. Lineage: Eukaryota; Viridiplantae; Streptophyta; Magnoliopsida; Fabales; Fabaceae.
GUCGGAGGAAAAGAAAAACAGAAAACAACCUUGGAGGAGGUUCUUAUGAUAGGGACAGUUUUGGAUUUACCACCUUGUUUGUGCUGAGUUGUAUUAAUUUGUAUAUAAUAUGUUGUAGUAUAGAAAUUGAAAUUGAAAUAAAGAAUAAAGAAUUGAUUUUUCAACGUAAAUAUUAUGUGUAUAACAACACACACAGGUGCAAGUGCAAGUGCAAGUGCAAGUCAAAAGGCAAAUUUGGUUUUGGG